RNAcentral lists this ribosomal RNA (817 nucleotides) under Virgibacillus halodenitrificans. RNAcentral's name for it is "bacterial SSU rRNA". It matches the Rfam family "Bacterial small subunit ribosomal RNA", at positions 60 to 860 of the family's 1533-position model. The record is from RNAcentral. Lineage: Bacteria; Bacillati; Bacillota; Bacilli; Caryophanales; Bacillaceae.
AGCUGAUCCUCUUCGGAGGUGACGCUUGUGGAACGAGCGGCGGACGGGUGAGUAACACGUGGGCAACCUGCCUGUAAGACUGGGAUAACCCCGGGAAACCGGGGCUAAUACCGGAUAAUACUUUUCAUCACCUGAUGAGAAGUUGAAAGGUGGCUUUUAGCUACCACUUACAGAUGGGCCCGCGGCGCAUUAGCUAGUUGGUGAGGUAACGGCUCACCAAGGCAACGAUGCGUAGCCGACCUGAGAGGGUGAUCGGCCACACUGGGACUGAGACACGGCCCAGACUCCUACGGGAGGCAGCAGUAGGGAAUCUUCCGCAAUGGACGAAAGUCUGACGGAGCAACGCCGCGUGAGUGAUGAAGGUUUUCGGAUCGUAAAGCUCUGUUGUUAGGGAAGAACAAGUGCCGUUCGAAUAGGGCGGCACCUUGACGGUACCUAACCAGAAAGCCCCGGCUAACUACGUGCCAGCAGCCGCGGUAAUACGUAGGGGGCAAGCGUUGUCCGGAAUUAUUGGGCGUAAAGCGCGCGCAGGCGGUCCUUUAAGUCUGAUGUGAAAGCCCACGGCUCAACCGUGGAGGGUCAUUGGAAACUGGAGGACUUGAGUACAGAAGAGGAGAGUGGAAUUCCACGUGUAGCGGUGAAAUGCGUAGAGAUGUGGAGGAACACCAGUGGCGAAGGCGACUCUCUGGUCUGUAACUGACGCUGAGGCGCGAAAGCGUGGGGAGCGAACAGGAUUAGAUACCCUGGUAGUCCACGCCGUAAACGAUGAGUGCUAGGUGUUAGGGGGUUUCCGCCCCUUAGUGCUGAAGUAACGCAU